AAGCCCAGCACCGAACCUCGCACCCCCGGGUGUCGCGGAAUGUGGUGUUCAGGAGGACCGUGCGCGUCUGUCCGGUAUCGUCCAAGUCUCCAUGAAUGGGGCCAGCAACCCAGAGAGGGUGUCAGGCCCGUGGGACGAGCCGCGACCGUGUAUUGGGUCUCUCCUUAGAGUCGGGUUGCUUGAGAGUGCAGCCCUAAGCGGGAGGUAAACUCCUUCUAAGGCUAAAUACGGCCACGAGACCGAURGCGAACAAGUACCGCGAGGGAAAGUUGAAAAGAACUUUGAAGAGAGAGUUCAAUAGUGCGUGAAACCGUUCAGGGGGUUAAACGGGUGGGCCCUCGAAGGUCGAACGCCCCCUACUCCUGUUCCUGUAGCGCUGGCACGUGCUGCUUUUCGAUCUCGCUACGAGACGGAGCUUGGUGCGGUAUGCCGGACUGCAGGGGCCGCUAGUUAGGGGGCCAGUAGGACUCCGCAACCGGCUGGGUUUUUAAGUCGUCAGAAGGGUUCUGGAGGAAGCCUCCUCUGGGGGUGAAAUCCGGGAUUCCGGGCGAUCUUCCCGGCCGUGAACCAGAAUUCCCCCGUCUGGCGUCUGGGACGAGUUCUGGCAACAGGACUGUCGGUUCUGGGCGUCACCGUGGGGACACCGCGGAGAGUAGAGUCGGGUCCCACCCGACCCGUCUUGAAACACGGACCAAGGAGUCUAACAUGUGCGCGAGUCGUCGGGUACUACUAAACCCGAARGCGCAAUGAAAGUGAAGACUGUGCCUCGUCGCCGGUCUAGGGGAGAUCCCG
This 792-nucleotide ribosomal RNA is filed under the name Cyzicus gynecia. RNAcentral's name for it is "partial large subunit ribosomal RNA". The record is from RNAcentral. Lineage: Eukaryota; Metazoa; Arthropoda; Branchiopoda; Diplostraca; Cyzicidae.